AGAGUUUGAUCCUGGCUCAGGAUGAACGCUAGCUACAGGCUUAACACAUGCAAGUCGAGGGGAAACGAUAUUGGAAGCUUGCUUCCGAUAGGCGUUGACCGGCGUACGGGUGAGUAACGCGUAUCCAACCUGCCCACCACUUGGGGAUAACCUUGCGAAAGUAAGACUAAUACCCAAUGACGUCUCUAGAAGACAUCUGAAAGAGAUUAAAGAUUUAUCGGUGAUGGAUGGGGAUGCGUCUGAUUAGCUUGUUGGCGGGGUAACGGCCCACCAAGGCGACGAUCAGUAGGGGUUCUGAGAGGAAGGCCCCCCACAUUGGAACUGAGACACGGUCCAAACUCCUACGGGCAGCA
RNAcentral lists this ribosomal RNA (353 nucleotides) under uncultured bacterium. RNAcentral describes it as "bacterial SSU rRNA". It matches the Rfam family "Bacterial small subunit ribosomal RNA", at positions 8 to 350 of the family's 1533-position model. The record is from RNAcentral.